This 1522-nucleotide ribosomal RNA is filed under the name uncultured bacterium. RNAcentral describes it as "bacterial SSU rRNA". It matches the Rfam family "Bacterial small subunit ribosomal RNA". The record is from RNAcentral.
AGAGUUUGAUCCUGGCUCAGAACGAACGCUGGCGGCGUGCUUAACACAUGCAAGUCGAACGAGAAAGUUUCCUUCGGGAAAUGAGUAGAGUGGCGCACGGGUGGGUAACGCGUAGGUAAUCUACCCUUAUGAUCGGGAUAACAUUGGGAAACUGGUGCUAAUACCGGAUACCCUUCCUGGCUGUGGGGUCAGGGAGGAAAGGUGGCCUCUUCAUGAAAGCUACCGCAUAGGGAUGAGCCUGCGUACCAUUAGCUAGUAGGCGGGGUAACGGCCCACCUAGGCGACGAUGGUUAGCGGGUCUGAGAGGAUGAUCCGCCACACUGGAACUGGAACACGGACCAGACUCCUACGGGAGGCAGCAGUGAGGAAUAUUGCGCAAUGGGGGAAACCCUGACGCAGCGACGCCGCGUGAGUGAGGAAGGUUUUCGGAUCGUAAAGCUCUGUCAGAAGGGAAGAAAUGCUGCAUGGUUAAUACCCAUGCAGUUUGACGGUACCUUCAGAGGAAGCACCGGCUAACUCCGUGCCAGCAGCCGCGGUAAUACGGAGGGUGCAAGCGUUGUUCGGAAUUACUGGGCGUAAAGGGCGCGCAGGCGGCCUGAUAAGUCAGAUGUGAAAGUMCACGGCUCAACCGUGGAAGUGCAUUUGAAACUGUCUGGCUUGAGUAUCGGAGGGGAGUGUGGAAUUCCCGGUGUAGAGGUGAAAUUCGUGGAGAUCGGGAGGAACACCGGUGGCGAAGGCGACACUCUGGACGAAUACUGACGCUGAGGCGCGAAAGCGUGGGGAGCAAACAGGAUUAGAUACCCUGGUAGUCCACGCCGUAAACGAUGUGAACUAGGGAUAGGGGGUGUUGAUCCCUUCUGUCCCGCAGCUAACGCAUUAAGUUCACCGCCUGGGGAGUACGGUCGCAAGAUUAAAACUCAAAGGAAUUGACGGGGGCCCGCACAAGCGGUGGAGCAUGUKGUUUAAUUCGAUGCAACGCGAAGAACCUUACCUGKGCUUGAACUAUAGUGGGCCCGCCUGCGAGAUCAGGCUUUCCCUUCGGGGACUGCUAUAGAGGUGCUGCAUGGCUGUCGUCAGCUCGUGUCGUGAGAUGUUGGGUUAAGUCCCGCAACGAGCGCAACCCCUAUCCUUAGUUGCCAGCGAGUAAUGUCGGGAACUCUAGGGAGACUGCCUCGGAAAUCGAGGAGGAAGGUGGGGAUGACGUCAAGUCCUCAUGGCCUUUAUGUCCAGGGCUACACACGUGCUACAAUGGGCGGUACAAAGGGUCGCGACAGCGCGAGCUCGAGCCAAUCCCAAAAAACCGUCCUCAGUUCAGAUUGCAGUCUGCAACUCGACUGCAUGAAGGUGGAAUCGCUAGUAAUCCCGGAUCAGCAUGCCGGGGUGAAUACGUUCCCGGGCCUUGUACACACCGCCCGUCACAUCACGAAAGUUGGCUGUACCGGAAGCCGGUGGGCUAACCCGCAAGGGAGGCAACUGUCCAUGGUGUGGUCAGCGAUUGGGGUGAAGUCGUAACAAGGUAACC